This is an RNA transcript of Anolis carolinensis (green anole), 23961 nucleotides long. RefSeq lists it as uncharacterized. Lineage: Eukaryota; Metazoa; Chordata; Lepidosauria; Squamata; Anolidae. The record is from RefSeq and is a predicted model, not a curated record. The transcript is spliced from 2 exons.
AUGCCUUAUGUGUUUGUUUUUCGGCAAGGCAUUUCCAGCAGUUAUGGAGUUAAUGAGAGUCUGCUAUGAUUGACGUAUCACAGGACCAAUGGGGUCAAGUUUGUUUUGACCGGGACUUUCUUUCCUGUUCCUGUGGAAUGCAGAGGAGUUUCCUGAGUAGAGCGGAGAACAGCGUUGAGCAAUGUGCUGUGUGUGCAUGAGUUGCUUCGGGAAGCACUCAUGGAGGAAGGACUGAUUUGCUCUGUUUGUAUAUAGAAAUGUAAAUAAAAGAUUGAUUGCCGUUGGAUUUCCAACCGAACCCUCAUCUGCUGGAGUGUGUUUGCCCAGUGCUGUUUUUUUCCACACAGGAGACAGUCUGGAGGAGGUGAAGACCGGGAUGGUGAAUUUUUGGAUUUCACUCUGCUACCCAUCAUCCCCGCUGACACUGGGUUAUGGGCCCAGGCCUCCAUGCUUCCCGCUGCGCAGUAGAUGGAGAUGCUGAUGGCUGGUGAGCUUUCAGCAACUGUGUGGCCGUGAGAGGGAUUCCAGAGAUGGAGGGGACCCGAAAGAGAGCUCCAGUGAAGCUGCAGGAGAAGAUUGUGACCGCCUGAGUCUGCACUUGAGUAAGUGGCAGUACGGCUUAAUCUCGGGGACCGAGGGUCACGGAGGCAGCUGAUUCACCGGGAGCUUGGGGUGUUGUUGAAUCUUGAUGGCAGAGAUGGCUGGAAAAAGCUUCAUUUCCAGCAUGGAAAAGCUGUCUGACGAAAAUUAUGCUUCGUGGUCAGAAAUGAUGCGGUCGUUGCUCGCAGCAGAGAACUUGGAGAAUACCCUCGAUGGUUCAGACCAAAAUGCUGAACACAGGAGGAAAGCCAAAGCAUAUUUGAUACUGUGCCUGCAACCAAACCAACUGGUCCAUGUGAGAAAUAAGGACACUCCUGAGGAGAUAUGGCAAGCUUUGAGAGAUGUCCAACAGAGGGAGACUUGCAUGUCUCAGAUGAUUUGGACUAAGAGGCUGUAUUCAGCAAAGCUUGUUCAGGGCCAGGAUGUCAGAAUGCAUUUGGACAAUCUAAAGCAAUUAUUGAUUGGAGCUGAGGAAAGAGGCCUACAAUAUUCAGAAGCACAGAAGUGUUAUCUGGUGCUGUGCAGCUUGUCUGAGGACUGGGACUUUCUGGUACAUUCUUUUCAGAAUGUGAGAGUCCAGGACUUAACUUUGGAUUCAGUUUGUGGGAGAAUCCAAGAAGAAGUGGACCGGAGGGCAUUUGAACGAGCCCAGAAGCAGACGAAGGCGCAGUGCGACCAGGAGGGGGCGCAAGUGGUCGGCUUUGGUCCAGAUGGUGUUCCUGGGAAUCGUGAGGAGGUUGCAGUACAUCAGGUCAAAACACGGCGUUGUUUUGUCUGCAACAAGCCGGGGCAUUUUGCCAGGAGUUGCCCAAACAACAAGGCAAGAAGUUCUCGUGGGAACAGAGGGGCGAGAAAUUUGUCAACAACUAAGCCCCAGGUGUUUAUGGCUGCGGUGAAUGGAAGGAUCACUGAAAAGAACAAGUGGUAUUUGGACUCAGGUUGUACACACCAUGUUGUUACAAAUCUUAAACGUUUGAAAAACAGAAGGGAUGUGUCUGGAACAGCAGUGACUUUGGCUGAUGGAACUGACAGGAAGUUCAACAAAUGUAGCACUGUGUUCAUCCCUUGCUUGAAUGUGGAUUGGGAAAAUGUACUUUACAUCCCAGAAUUAAGUUCUAAUUUGUUAAGUGUGGCUACCUUAACAGAGAACGGAUAUAGAGUAAUUUUUAGCGGAAUCUAUUGCUAUAUUCAGAGAGAUGGACGAGUAGUGGCAAAAUGUGUAAAAAGAAACAAAAUCAUCAUCAUCAUCAUCAUUUAAGUACUUAUUAAUCGCCCUCCAUCCACGAUGCUCUAGGCGAUUUACAAGAUAAAAUUGUAAAGGAUAAAAAUACAUACAUACAAAUAUUGAUUAAAAAAUAUUAAAAUAGAUUAAAAGCUCUAGUAAAGAGUCAUGUCUUGAGUGCUAGGGUAAAAGGCCCCAACUCACGCAUGGCUCUCAUAUAGGGCGGCAAGGCAUUCCAUAAGGCAGGGGCAGAAACAGAAAAAGCUCUGCGCCUGUUCCUCUCCAAGUGCACUUCUCUAGGACCCGGUACAUAGAGUAAAUGUAUAUGAUAUGAAAAUGUAUAUGAUGUUUGACAAAAAUAACUUUCCAGAUGGGGCACAAGUCCAUUGUGUGAAACAGAAGAUAAUGCAUGACAGGUGUAUCCAUCAUCUUCACGGAGCGAUGGGUCAUGCACAUGUAGAGGUGCUCAGAAAGAUUUUAGAAAUAUGCACAGAUUUUGAUUGUGAGAAAUGUGAAAAUUUAUUAGACUGUGCAGUUUGUUCAGAAAUGGGAAUUAAAUCAAAUGAGCACCCUAAAAGAUCUGGAAUUAAGGCCAAGGAAAUGUUUGAAAUAGUCCAUCUGCAUGUGACAGAAUCUGAUGUAAAAAGCCAGGGAGGUUCUCAAUUUACUUUGCUGUUAGUAGAUAGACACACGAGAUUUGGUUAAGGGGAAGUACAGACUCCCCAGAAGAGUCAGAAGAGAGGGGGUAAAUGGAAAAAAUCACCUAAGCUUGAGAGUGAAGAGCAGGUGACAGGUAAGAGUGAAGAUAUAUCUCUUCUUGAGACCGAGAUUGAAUCAGAUGAUCAGUGGUCUCCAACAUGUCAAUUGGCACAUGUGUUGCCAAAGCGCCAGAGAUGCAAAAACAUUGUGCCUGUUUAUUAGUCUGAACGGAAAUUGAAAUAUGUAUAUAUGUUCAGAGAGAGUUAAAUCAGUUUUGUGAAUAAUUGUGAUGGAAAAGUAUGAUUAUGAAAUGAAUUGGUUUUAAGAAAUUGGAUUUUAAGAGAAAUUGAAAUCCAUGGUUAAGCCAGCAUUGAGUUGAAAUAUAGCCUGGCAGCAUCAAAUGAAUCUAUGUGGCACAAUGAAUUAAGUUUUCAGAGGUUGGGGAAACUAUUGAUUAAUGAAGUGAAGCAUCAGUGUAUUGGGUUAUGGUUCUAGCAUCGAUUGUGUUAAUAAAGAUGCAAGAAAAGUGUUGAUGUAUUGUGAUCAAAGCAAUUUUACAUGUGAUUGAAAAGGACUGUAUGUAUACAUGUAUUGAUCCUGUGGAAGUUCAAGAGAGAUUGAUCAAAUGUGUAGAGUGUUAAAGUAUGUAGAGAAUUGAUUUGAACAUUUCGGAGGGGAAUUGUCAGGGUAUUGUGAAAUGUUAAAAUCAAUCUGGGUUAUUUGAAAUGCCUUAUGUGUUUGUUUUUCGGCAAGGCAUUUCCAGCAGUUAUGGAGUUAAUGAGAGUCUGCUAUGAUUGACGUAUCACAGGACCAAUGGGGUCAAGUUUGUUUUGACCGGGACUUUCUUUCCUGUUCCUGUGGAAUGCAGAGGAGUUUCCUGAGUAGAGCGGAGAACAGCGUUGAGCAAUGUGCUGUGUGUGCAUGAGUUGCUUCGGGAAGCACUCAUGGAGGAGGGACUGAUUUGCUCUGUUUGUAUAUAGAAAUGUAAAUAAAAGAUUGAUUGCCGUUGGAUUUCCAACCGAACCCUCAUCUGCUGGAGUGUGUUUGCCCAGUGCUGUUUUUUUCCACACGGGAGACAGUCUGGAGGAGGUGAAGACCGGGAUGGUGAAUUUUUGGAUUUCACUCUGCUACCCAUCAUCCCCGCUAACAUCUUUUGGGUUGCUAGGUCAGCAACGAGCAGGGGCUAUUUUAUUUUAUUAGUGGGUGAGUGAAUGGAUAGAUGAGUGGAUGGAUAGAUAGAGUGGGUGUCUCCUUGUUUCCUUUAUUUCUAUGUUAUUACCUUUCUCUGCUCCGAUCCUGAGCUCACUGAUAAGAACACACUGGUCAGAAAGGAGGGUAAAUAUAACCGGAUCAAUGGUCUUUCUCUCCCUUUUGCUCUUGGCCUUCCGGGCAGAGAAGGAGGGCUCUUGUCCUUGGCAUUCCUUUGCUUCCCUCCCCUCCCUGCUUCCUUCGUUCUAUCCAUCCCAGUCUUUCCUGCCUGCAGAGCCAUGGAACUGAGUCAGUGGGUUGGAUGGUGGGGAAAGCGAGAAGGAAGAGGCCUCUAAUUGAAAUGCAUGGACUCCAUGCCACGGGGUGCUGGAAUUUGUAGUUUGCAUCCAGUCCAACCCCUUUCUUUCUUUUUGUCAUGGAGGAAGACCCCACACAAACCACUCAGACAGAUGGCCAUCCAGUUUAGUUGUGCUAUUAUAGUCACAAUGUGUUGUUGUGAGUUUUGUGGGUCCGGAUUAUGGUUUUGUGGUGUGGUUGUGUUGUUACAACCGGGAGUCAAGGCUUUUAAGUUGUGUUGUCAAGUUUUGUAUUUCUGGAACAAAUUAAGCAAAUACCUAAAGGAAAAAAGAAAUAUGGAAAUAUAGAGGGAGAUAUUGUUUAAGAGCAGAGACCCUUGGGUUCUAAGAACAUUGUUUUGGGAAAGAACUGGGAAACUAAGAAUCAAAUUGCAGAGCAGGGGAACUGGAAGGUAAUACAGAGAGGAGGGAGGGUUGAGGGGGAAUAUGUGGUUGUUGGGUUUUUUCUUUUUCUCCUUUGUUAUGUUUUUGUUUAUGUAGUCACAUAUGGCUCUCUCUUUUUAUUGCAUCACUAAAAUUAUAAAUAAAACGUAUAAAAAAGUUUUGUAUUUGCAUUUAGUUGUGUGCCAAGUUUCAUAUUUCUGGGGCGUUUAGUUGUGUUGUUAUAGUCACGAGGCGUUGUUGUGAGUUUUGUGGGUCUGGAUUGUGGUUUUGUGGUGUGGUUGUGUUGUUACAACCAAAAGGCAAGGCUUUUGCAUUGUGUUGUCAAGUUUUGUAUUUCUGGGGCAUUUAGUUGUGUUAUAGUCACGAUGCGUUGUUGUGAGUUUUGUGGGUCCGGAUUGUGGUUUUGUGGUGUGGUUGUGUUGUUACAGCCGGGAGGCAAGGAUUUUGCAUUGUGUUGUCAAGUUUUGUAUUUCUGGGGCAUUUAGUUGUGUGCCAAGUUUCAUAUUUCUGGGGCAUUUAGUUGUGUUGUUAUAGUCAUGAUGUGUUGUUGUGAGUUUUGUGGGUCCGGAUUGUGGUUUUGUGGUGUGGUUAUGUUGUUACAACCGGGAGGAAAGGCUUUUGCAUUGUGUUGCCAAGUUUCGUAUUUCUAGGACGUUUAGUUUUGUUGUUAUAGUCACUGUGCAAACAACUUUAUACUUUUCUAUAUAUAGAUAUAUAUGGUUAUAUAUAUAUGGAUGAUGAUGAUGAUGAUGAUGAAAUAAUAAUAUCAUCAAGGAAAAGGGGCUAAAGGAACACAAGAUAAUAAUAAUAAUAAUAAUAAUAAUAAUAAUAAUAAUAAUAAUAAUAAUAAUAAUAAUAAUGGAAACUGAAAUCCAGUCUCUGAACAACACUGUCUGAAUUUUUAGCACUGAUAUCAGCAUGGAGUUUGGUUUGGACAAAUGUUCGACAGUGGCAUUGAAGAAGGGAAAAAUCACUGAAAGUGAGGGCAUAAAUAUGCCUAAUGGCCAAACAAUAAAGUGUCACCAGCCAGAGGCCUAUAAAUAUCUGGGCAUAUUACAGCUGGACAACAUCAAGCAUGAACAUGUGAAGACUGUGGUCAGUAAAAUAAAAUAAAUAAAUAAAAAGCCCCGACUUGCUGUUGACCUAGCAGCCCCGAAAGACAGUUGCAUCUGUCAAGUAGGGAAAAUUUAGGGACGCUUUAUGCGGGAGGCUAAUUUAACUAAUCUACAACACCAUAAAACUGCUCACGAGGAAAAGAAGAGGAAGAACAGCCACCAAUGGUCGGUGAAGCAACAGCUCCCCCUGUGGCCGGAAUCGUGAAGCUGGAAAGAUGUUAAAAAAAUCCCUCUGUGUCUGUCUAAAACUGAAUGUUGUUUGUCUGUUGGCAUUGAAUGUUUGCCAUAUAUGUGUUCAUUGUAAUCCGCCCUGAGUCCCCUUCGGGGUGAGAAGGGCAGAAUAUAAAUACUGUAAAUAAAUAAAUAAAUAAAUAAAUAAAUAAAGAAUACACACAAAGGGUCAGAAAAAUUCUCAAAAGCAAGCUCAAUGGAGGCAACACCAUCAAGGCCAUAAACACCUGGGCCAUACCUGUCAUAAGAUAUACUGCUUGCAUUAGAAAUUGGACACAGGCGGAACUGGACAAUUUGGACAGAAAAACAAGUAAACUCAUGACCAUUCAUCAUUCACUGCACCCUCUCAGUGAUGUUGACCGCCUAGAAGAUCAGGGGGCAGAGGACUCUUACAAGUAAAACAAACAGUCAAAGAAGAAGAACAUGCCCUGGCAGAUUAUAUAAAGCAAAGUGAAGAACUCCUCAAAGCGCAGCAGACAAAAAACCAGUACAAGAAAACCGCACUACAAACUAGAGCUGACAGCUGGCACAACAAAACAUUGCAUGAAAAGUUCCUUGACAAAAUUGAAGGAAAAGCUGAUAAGGAGAAGACCUGGCUCUGGCUCACAAAUGAGACACUGAAAAAGGAGACAGAAGGCCUGAUCCUUGCAGCCCAGGAGCAAGCCAUUAGAACAAAUGCAAUUAAGGCUAAGAUCGAAAAAUCAGCUGAUGGCCCAAAAUGCAGACUCUGCAAGGAAACCGACGGAACCAUUGAUCAUAUCCUCAGCUGCUGUAAGAAAAUCACACAGACAUACUACAAACAGAGGCACAACUAUGUGGCCCAAAUGAUUCAUUGGAACUUAUAGCUCAAGUACCACCUCCCUGCAGUAAAGAACUGGUGGGAUCACAAACCUGCAAAGGUUGUGGAAAAUGAACAAGCAAAAAUACUGUGGGACUUCUGAAUCGAGACUGACAAAGUUCUGGAACACAACACAUGAGACAUCACAGUUCAUAGAAUCAUAGAAUAGUAGAGUUGGAAGAGACCUCAUGGGCCAUCCACUCCAACCCCCUGCCAAGAAGCAGGAAAUCGCAUUCAAAGCACCCCCGACAGAUGGCCAUCCAGCCUCUGCUUAAAAGCCUCCAAAGAAGGAGCCUCCACCACAGUCCGGGGCAGAGAGUUCCACUGCCGAACAGCCCUCACAGUGAGGAAGUUCUUCCUGAUGUUUAGGUGGAAUCUCCUUUCCUGUAGUUUGAAGCCAUUGUUCCAUGUCCUAGUUUGCAGGGCAGCAGAAAACAAGCUUGCUCCCUCCUCCCUAUGACUUCCCCUCACAUAUUUGUACAUGGCUAUCAUGUCUCCUCUUAGCCUUCUCUUCUGCAGGCUAAACAUGCCCAGUUCUUUAAGCCUCUCCUCAUAGGGCUUGUUCUCCAGACCUUUGAUCAUUUUAGUUGCCCUCCUCUGGACGCUUUCCAGCUUGUCAACAUCUCCCUUCAACUGCGGUGCCCAGAAUUGGACACAGUAUUCCAGGUGUAGUCUGACCAAGGCAGAAUAGAGGGGGAGCAUGACUUCCCUGGAUCUAGAUGCUAUACCCCUAUUGAUGCAGGCCAAAAUCCCAUUGGCUUUCUUAGCAGCCGCAUCACAUUGCUGGCUCAUGUUUAACUUGUUGUCCACAAGGACUCCAAGAUCUUUUUCACAUGUACUGCUGUCUAGCCAGGCGUCCCCCAUUCUGUAUCUUUGCAUUCCAUUUUUUUCUGCCAAAGUGAAGUAUCUUGCAUUUGUCCCUGUUGAACUUCAUUUUGUUAGUUUCGGCCCAUCUUUCUAGUCUGUCAAGAUCGUUUUGAAUUCUGCUCCUGUCUUCUGGAGUGUUAGCUAUCCCUCCCAGUUUGGUGUCAUCUGCAAACUUGAUGAUCGUGCCUUCUAACCCUUCGUCUAAGUCGUUAAAAUAAAGAUGUUGAACAGAACCGGGCCCAGGACGGAGCCCUGCGGCACUCCACUGGUGACUUCUUUCCAAGAUGAAGACGACACAUUGGUGAGCACCCUUUGGGUUCGUUUGCUUAGCCAAUUAGAGAUCUACCUAACCGUAGUUUUGUCUUGCCCACCUUUUACUAGUUUAUUUGCCAGAAGGUCGUGGGGGACUUUGUCGAAGGCCUUACUGAAAUCUAGGUACGCUACAUCCACGGCAUUCCCUGUAUCGACCCAACUCGUAACUCUAUCAAAAAAAGAGAUCAGAUUAGUCUGGCAUGACUUGUUUUUGGUAAAUCCGUGUUGACUAUUAGCAAUGACUGCAUUUGUUUCUAAGUGUUUGCAGAUCACUUCCUUAAUGAUCUUUUCCAGAAUCUUGCCUGGUAUCGAAGUGAGGCUGACCGGAUGGUAAUGGUUUGGGUUGUUCUUUUUUCCCUUCUUGAAGAUAGGGACCACAUUUGCCCUCCUCCAAUCUUCCAGGACUUCUCCUGUUCUCCAAGAACUCUCGAAGAUAAUUGUCAGUGGUUCUGAAAAAACCUCAGCUAGUUCCUUCAAUACUCUUGGAUGUAGCUGAUCUGGCCCUGGAGACUUGAAUUCGUUUAGAGUGGCCAGGUGUUCCUGGACAACUUGUCUCCGUACUUGGGGUUGGAUUUCCCCAAAUCCUUCGUCCAUUUCAUGUUGCUGAGGUUGAAGAUGGCUUUCUUUUUGUGAGAAGACCGAGGCAAAGAAGGCAUUAAGCAGGUCUGCCUUUUCCCUGUCCCCUGCCGCCAUCACCCCAUCUUCUCCUUACAGAGGCGCUAUCGCCUCCUUGUUCUUCCUUUUUCUACCAACAUAAACAAAAAAGCCUUUUUUUGUUGUUUUUAAUGUCCCUGGCAAGCCUGAGCUCAUUUUGCGAUUUAGCCUUGCGAACAUUUUCCCUACAGGAGUUGGCUAUACGUUUGAAUUCUUCUUUGGUGAUUUCUCCCCUUUUCCACUUCUUGUGCAUGUCUCUUUUGAGUCUUAGUCCGGUUAGAAGUUCUUUGGACAUCCAUUCUGGCUUCUUUGCACUUGUCAUAUUUUUUUCUUUGUUGGCACUGUUUGCAUUUGCGCCUUGAGUAUUUCACUUUUUAAAAACUCCCAUCCAUCCUUAACUCCCUUGUCUUUUAAUAUUGGCAUCCAUGGAAUGCCGCUCAGUAUUUCCUUCAUUUUUUGGAAGUCAGCUCUCUUAAAGUCCAGAAUGCGUGUUUGACUUGACUUAGUUUCAGCCUUCCUUUGUAUGGCAAACUGCAGGAGCACAUGGUCACUUGCCCCUAAGGAUCCAACGACUUCUACUGUAUUGAUCAGGUCUUCCACAUUUGUUAAGAUUAGAUCAAGAGUUGCUGAUCCCCUUGUUGCCUCUUCUACCUUCUGGACCAUAAAAUUGUCUGCAAGGCAAGUGAGGAAUUUGUUGGACUUUGUGCUCUUGGCCGAGUUUGUUUUCCAGCAGAUAUCAGGAUAGUUGAAGUCACCCAUGACUACUAUAUCUCUUCUUUGUGCCUGUUUGGUCAGCUGCUGACAGAAGGCUUCAUCAAGUUCUUCAUCCUGGUUCGGAGGUCUGUAGUAGACACCCACGACGAGAUCUUUUUGAGUCCCGGUUCCCUUGAUUCUUAUCCAGAUGCUUUCAAGCUGGUUUUCCGGAUUACAGUCUUGCAUUUCUUCUGCAACGUAACUGUUUUUGACAUAUAAAGCUACUCCCCCUCCUCUUCCCUUUGUUCUAUUUCUGUGAAAGAGGUCAUAGCCCUCAAUGGCUAAAUUCCAGUGAUGGGAGUCAUCCCACCAGGUUUCAGUGAUGCCCAUGAUGUCAUACGUGUGAUGCUGUGCUAAAUGUUGGAGUUCGUCAUGCUUAUUUCCCAUGCUCUGUGCAUUAGUGUAAAGACAUGUAAGCCCCUGUGAUCUUCCCCCGGGCUGUUUAUUUGGGAUUAUUAUGCUCUCGGUACUUGGUCCUUGCUGUUUUUGUGCAGCCCUCCGUUUAGCCUUUUGGCGGUUCCCUGUGGUCGUGGGUAAUAUAGUGUUCGCCAGGCUGUUGUUCCCCUCCCCCAGUGGAUCUAGUUUAAAGUGCGCCUGAUGAGAUUUGUGAGUCUGUGUGCAAAAAGAUGUUUUCCACUUGGCAAGUGAUGCACCCCAUCACUUACCAGUAGGCCAUCCUCCUGGAAGAGUAGACAAUGAUCAAGGAAGCCAAAAUGCUCCUCUUGACACCAUUUUCUGAGCCAGUUAUUGACCUGUACUAUUUUUCCGGCCCUUGUAAAGCCGUGUCCUACAACAGGGAGGAGGGAUGAAAAGAUCACAUGUACAUUAUACAGUUUUAGCUUUGUUCCCAGAGCUCGAAAAUCAUUUGUGAUCUUUUGAAAAGUAUGCCUAGCGGUGUCAUUGGUUCCUACAUGAAUCAACAUAAGGUGGGGAGGGUGAUGGGGCUUUAGGAGCCUGCUGAGCCUCUGAGUCAUAUGGUGUAUUUUUGCCCCCGGGAGGCAGCAUGUUUCUCAAGCCAUCCCAUCCGGUCUGGAAAUGAUGGCUUCCGUUCCUCUAAGGAGGGAGUCACCUACUACCAAGACCUGUUUCCUUUGAGGAUUGACAGGGUCCCUUUUGUGCAAGACAGUGUGUAUAUUCCCUGAAGAGUGUUCCAGUUGAAGUGAAUCAUGUAGGUAUAAAGUGUUGUCCUCCUCCUCAACAUCCCCAGUGCAUUCAUCAAUGACAAUCCAUUGAGAUGCGUCCAAGAGCCCAUCACUCUCCCAAGGGUGUUCCUGCUGUGCCUGGUCUACGAUUGGGGAUGGAGCAUUUGCAUGAUUACAUAAGUGUGAAUGUGGUGAUGCACUGUCCCCGUCAGGGCUAUCCCCUGCGCAUUGAUCAAGAGUGGCCCACUGAGUGGUAUCUAAGUAACUGUGGUCCUCCACAAGAUGUGUUUCCUGAUUGUAUAUUAGUUGUGUAAGAAUUUGGAAUCUGUUGUGUAAAUCCAGCUGAGAAGAGGAGUUCUGUGGAGGCUGCCUGGUCCUGUGUCUCUUUGUAUGGGUGACCUCCUUCCAAGCCUGAGGAUUAUCUGAGUUGAUCUCCCCGUAAAGUUCCUGAUCAUGGUGGUGUUGGUGUGAUGCAGGUUGCAGAUCUACAGCAGCGUAUUGUGCAGUGUCCAAGAAGAGCUCAAGUGCCUGAAUGUCCUUAAGGGUCUUAAUGUGGGCCUCGAGUUUUUGGAGCCUCUUUUCCAUCUGAGUCAGCUGUUUACACUUGGUGCAGGUGUAGUUGAGUAGUUGUUGUGCAAAGAAGGUGAACAUGUCGCAACUUGUGCAUGUGGUGGCAAGUACUUGCUGUUGAUCCAUCUCUUGGUGAGUGAAGUGACCUAGCAGGAUCAUGUGUGUUAUGGGCAGAAUGCUAUCCACCUUCCUGUGUGUGUGUGUUUUAAUGUUGUUUUGUUUAUUGUAUAUACUGUAAGAACGUGUUUUAGUGUAGGGGUGGGUUCGCGAGCGCUGUCAGGUGCAAGCGACACUGGCUUAGAAAGCUUCAACAGGAAGCCAACACUUUCAAUAACAAUAGCCUUGCCUCACCUUCCAAACACUAGCAGAGCAGCAAGCCUUUAUUACAGCUAGCCCACACUCAUGAAUCAGCACAGACUCAGGUUUUUAAAGGUAAAGAGUCCAACAGACACAGGUUUUUUUUAAGGCUAUCUAAGAAAGGAGUAGGCAAUCUAAGAAAAGAGUGCACACUGUCAGGUUUUUAAGGAAAUCUUAGAUAGGCCUUACCUAAACCAAGGAGCAAGCUUCCUUCUUGCUUCCUCUCCUCACCUCUUUGUGGAAAAGAAAAAGGUUUGGAUCAUUGAUGUUGCCAUCCCAGGUGACAGUCGCAUUGACGAGAAACAACAGGAAAAACUCGGCCACUAUCAGGCCCUCAAGAUUGAACUUCAAAGACUCUGGCAGAAACCAGUGCAGGUGGUCCCGGUGGUGAGGGGAACACUGGGUGCUGUGCCAAAAGACCUCAGCCAACAUUUGGAAACAAUAGACACUGACAAAAUUACGAUCUGUCAGCUGCAAAAAGCCACCCUAUUGGGAUCUGUGCGCAUCAUCUGAAAAUACAUCACACAGUCCUAGACAUUUGGGAAGUGUUCGAUUUGUGAUUUUGUGAUACAAAAUCCAGCAUGUCUAUCUUGUUUGCUGUGAUAUGAUAAUAUCAGCACUGCCAAUUGUUUUCCCCACACUAGGUGGCACCCUUCUUGGCUUGUGCAACCAGGGGGCCAGGGCUCAACUCCAGCUAAUGUCCUCCACCAGCCGCAAGCCCAGAAAGCCAGAGCAGCACAUAGAAUUGUAGACUUGGAAGAGACCUCAUGGGUCAACCAGUCCAACCCCCUGCCAGGAAGCAGGAAAUGAUAAUGCAGGUCUACUCAUUCGACAGCAUGCCACCGAGAAAGAAUGUGGGGGGCACCAAGGCCAAGGGUCCAGCGAAACAGAAGCAGCCCAAAAGGUCACCCUGUCCUACUGUUCCAGAGAAUGGAUCACUGGAUGCUGCAGCAGUGCCACCCACACCAGUGGCUACCAAUCAGGCAGUCACUGUUGUGCCAACAGAAACCCUCAAUGCCAUGUGGGCAACACUGCAAGUCUUGGAGCAGGAGAGAAGGGCGCCACCCCCUAACCUGGAUAGUGAACAAGCUUUUAACACUUUGAUAUCCCAUGUCUCUGCUCUAGAGAACAAGCGCAGUGCUCCUGGCACAGGUGACGGAGGCCAGCCUAACAUCCAGCCAGCUGACCCAGUACCAUCUGCUGAGCCGACGGCAGUAACCCAACCUGAAAUGACGGCACAGACGCAGAACACCAGGAGCAGUGGUGGAAGCUCACGUAAUGAUGACACACCUACAUGGCCAUGGGACCAGCAAGGGUCACAGGAGAGCUCCCAAGUACAAAAUCAGUUAGAAGAGCUCCCGGCCUCGCUGACUCCUAUGCCCACACACAGUCAGGCACAGGGGUCAAGGCAACCUAAUUCAAGUGGUAGCACAGGUACUUCUGGGUCAUCAGCCAUCAAUGAUAAGCAAAACCAGUAUUGGGGAACGGAGAAGUGGCCAGUGGCCCUGCCUCCUAUGCGGGCGGUGCGCUUGGGUUCACACCUCAACCAGAGGUCAAUAAAUAAGAUGUUGAGGAACAAAUACGUUGAUAUUUUUUCCCUCCACUUUAAAGACAUGGACAAGAAGGAAAAAGAUGAGCUAGAUGAGGAAUAUAAUGAGAGGAUGAAGAAGCGGAAAGUAGACAAUACAUGGGAUAACUGGUUAGCUUGUUACAUGAUAUACGCUGGGGUUAUUGUCAGAAAGUACCCCGCUAGUGGGCCUUUUUCAAUACCUGUUUCAAUACCAGAACAUCAUAUAUUCUGCCCACGUUAACUUUACGGGCAACGGAUGGCUGGAGUACGAUCAGCGUUUUAGAUCAGAUGCAGCUACCGACCCCACAAUGUGUUGGGAAGUUAUUGACAACCAUCUUUGGAUGGAAGUCAUGAGUAAUGCCAAGGCACUGCCUGGAGUAAAAGCAGACUGUGGGCACACAAUUCAGUGUGCUAAAGGAGGGCAGUUUUUUCAUCAGGGAGCAUGUACAUCACACCAGCAGUGUGUGCCAUGCUGGGAGUAUGCCUCACACGGGGCUUGUUCUCACAAGGGCUGUAGAUUUCAGCACAGCUGUACCAUCUGUAAUGGAGCCCAUUCCACAAAAACUGUGGGAGAAUUAGACCAUUUUGCCCAGCCCAGACAGACAACCAGUUUCAGAGGAAGGGAGCGACCUCCGCUGCCCUUCCCAAAGGGACUCAGCACAAUUAAUGUUCCAAAAUUGGACCAGUGGCUGAGGACUUAUCCAAACACCUUGGCAGCUAAAUAUCUUCUUGAUGGUUUUAAAAGUGGUUUUUGGAUUCCAACACAUGAUCCUAGGAUCUCUUUCCAGCCCGAAAACUAAAAGUCCAUACUAGGAAUGGAGGUAAUAGUCAGACAAAAAAUUGAGAAGGAGGUUAAGGAAGGUAGGUUUUUAGGCCCCUUUCCUUCACCUCCGUCCCCCAACCUGAGAGUGUCACCACUCAAGAAGGUCCCGGGAGAAUAUCGGCUCAUUCACAACCUGUCAUACCCCAAGGGCACGUCGGUGAAUGAUGCCAUAUCUCUGGAUGAUUGCACAGUACACUACACAUCAUUUGACACCGCAGUGGGCUUAAUACGAUCCAAGGGCAUGGCAGCGAAGUUGGUAAAAUGCGACAUCAAAUCAGCUUUCUGUCUCCUCCCCGUACACCCAUUGGACCUGACAUUCUUAGAAUUAAAUCAGUUUUCCGUCUCCUCCCCGUACACCCAUUAGACCUGACAUUCUUAAAAAAAAUUCCCAUUCUGGUGACCGUCAGCCUAUGGGGAGAGCAAUUCGCAAACUCCACAGUGCACUUUUGGUGCGAUAGUGCAGCCACAGUGCAGGUCAUUAAUUCCCUUACAUCCAGAUCAGUCAGGGUUAUGGGGUGGUACGACACUUCACCCUGCUUUGCUUAAAGCAUAACAUACUGUUCAAAGCCUUUUACAUUGUGGGUUCAGAGGAUGUACUAGCUGAUGCACUGUCCCGCUCACAGAUGGAAUGCUUCAGGCAGCUCGCCCCCAACGAAGACAUGAGAGUGAUGCCAAUGCUGAAGCAUCUGUGGAAAAUUGGAGUGAGGAAUUAGUUCAUUUCAUUGGCAAAUCCUUGGCUCCUAGUUUCAGAAAGGCGUACAUCAGGACAGUGCAAGAAUUUCAUGAAUUCAGACAGCAAUACAGAAGGAAGGGGUCACCAAAUGUCCCCUUUGAAUAUGUGGCCCAGUUUGCUAUCGUCCUCAGGAGAGAAAGCCUGGCGCCGAAGACGAUCAGAGCUAAGCUAUCAGCAAUGGCUUUCUGGGUCAAGGCGCAAGGCCAACAGGACAUCACCAUGGAAUUUGGGAUUUGCAAGUGGCUCAAGAGAUGGUCACAUGAGUAUGGCAGGCCCUGCGACCAGUGGGAACCCCUCACACCGGAAAUAUUGAAAGGGCUUCGACAAACGUGGCCUUCAGUCUGGACAUCCAGCUCUUCCAUGCAGCUGCCCUGGUGGUGUUCUUUGCGACACUCAGGUUCAGCGAAUUGGUUGUAGCAUCCAAAACUGACCAAUCUCAGAGAGCACUGCUUAUCUCAGACCUCAGUCUGAGUGGUGAUACAGCGGACCUGUUCAUUAGAGUGUCUAAGACCGACCAGAGAGCUAGGAGGACAUGCAUAUAGUUAAAGAAAUGCAGUGAGCCUCAGUUGUGCCCUGUGCAGGCCCUGACCAACUAAGGAGACCACAGUGGGCCCUUUGCUUUGUCACCAGGAUGGCAUCCCUUUAAGUUUCAAUUCUGGACCAUCACUGCCAAGGCGCUGCAGAAACUGGGCAUGCAGGGACAUAAGUUCGGGACACAUUCGUUCCGCAUUGGGGUGGCAUCUACCGCAGCCGCCAUGGGAUAUGGGGUGGAAAGAAUAAGAACAAAUGGAAGAUGGCGGUUCGAAGCCUAUCGGUCCUACAUUCGCCCAGUGCAGUUGUUAUGACUCUUGUUUUUUUUGCAGAUGGAGUGUCGAUGACAUAUAGAUGAAGGGUCCUGACCUGUGGACACAGCUACAUUUAUUGGGCCAAGGAACACGCUCAGAGAUCCACCUAUGGCCAGCACCUAGGCCUUGCGUCUAUUGCCACUGUCGAGUGGAAGGGCAGCCGAGGACUUUGUUGGGAUGGACUGCUCCCCCUGUUGUCCAAUUCCAGGAACGCAGAAGCACCCGAUGCAGAUGGCAUUCCCACGCAGGGCUUCCCUCCUGACGUGUUGGUGGUCCACCUGGGGGGAAAUGACUUGGGCCUGCUCAAAGGCAAGGCAUUAUUCCUGUAAGCUGUGGCUGAUUUCUGCAAGAUUAAAGAGGAGUGGCCUCACACUCACAUCGUAUGGUCAGAGGUAAUCCCACGGCUGAGGUGGCCAGGAGGCGGCGAUGCAUGGAGAAUAGACAGUGCUCGUAAAAGAGUGAACCGGGCUAUCUAGAGAAUCUGUAAGGGGGGUAUGGGCUCAUACCUACAGCAUGAUAUAUUGUAUGCCAAAUGAGAGUAUUACCGACCUGAUGGAAUUCACAUGUCUGACCUGGGCAAUGACCACUUCCUGGCCUGCCUACAGGCGGGUAUUCGUGCAGCUAUCGAGAGCUUGGUGGGGGAUAGGGACAAAGUAGACGCCUGCCCUUAUCUGUGGCGUAAACAGUAAAGAUGUUGAAUGCGAAGCACAGACUUGGUGCCCACUUUGAGAGGCCAGGAAAUAUAAAAUGUCCAAAUGAUGUAAAUAAAUAAGGGGCCGGUCGAAACAGGGGGCCCAGAUAUUGGGAAGCAGAAAUUGAUUAUUAGAAAUCAUCCUCAUCAAGUUUAUUACCAAGUUAAUACUGGAGCCAGGUUAGAUUACCAUAUUUUAAUUAUAAUUCUUAGAAUCAUAGAAUAGUAGAGUUGGAAGAGACCUCAUGGGCCAUCCAGUCCAACCCCCUGCUAAGAAGCAGGAAAUCUCAUUCAAAGCACCCCCGACAGAUGGCCAUCCAGCCUCUGCUUAAAAGCCUCCAAAGAAGGAGCCUCCACCACAGUCUGGGGGAGAACAGCUCUCACAGUGAGGAAGUUCUUCCUGAUGUUCAGGUGGAAUCUCCUUUCCUGUAGUUUGAAGCCAUUGUUCCGCGUCCUAGUCUGCAGGGCAGCAGAAAACAAGCUUGCUCCCUCCUCCCUAUGACUUCCCCUCACAUAUUUGUACAUGGCUAUCAUGUCUCCUCUCAGCCUUCUCUUCUGCAGGCUAAACAUGCCCAGCUCUUCCUGUGAUUUCAAUUUUAUUUCCCUUCCUUCUUUUUCUAGUAUAUCUCUAUACGUAGGCCAUGUGUUCCAUCCCAGUUCUCUUCUCUGGCAUGCCUCCAUAGAAGACACCCAGAGGGGGGGGGGGUUAUUAUAGAUUCUCUGUUUAUAUUUAUUCCAGAUCUUGAGUAAGGCCGAACGGAUAAAAUGGUUGCCGAAAUUUUUUCGAUUGGUGCUUUGUUGUACCACAGGUACACAUGCCAACUGACUCGCAAAUCAUGUCCUUCCAGGGUCAACAUUUUCUUAUUGCUAAAAUUAAUCCAAUCCCUUACCCAAUCUAAUCCGCAGGCUUCCAAGUAAAGGGCAAGGUUCGGUAAACCUAAACCCCCUCUAUUUUUGACAUCUGUCAAAUUUGUAUAAUUUAUUCUUGGUUUCUUAUUAUUCCAGAUAAAUUUUGAUAUAUCUUUAUUCCAUUCUUUAAAUAACUUCUGGUUCCUAAUUACUGGAAGGUUUUGGAAAAGAUAUAUCAUUUUUGGUAAUACAUUUGUUUUAAUAACCGCUAUUCUACCCAAUAAGGAUAAUUUUAAUGAAGAACAAUUCUUGAGAUUGUUUUUAAUUUCUUUCCAUUUAUUGAUAUAGUUGUUUUGGAGUAACUGUGAAUUCUUUGUUGUUAGAUAUAUUCCUAGAUAUUUUAUUUUGGUUGACGUUUUCAUACCUGUGAUAUCACUUAUCUGGGAUUGUCUUUCUUUUGAUACAUUUUUUGUUAAUAUCAUGGAUUUAUCUUUAUUUAUUCUGAAACCUGAUAUUUUGCCGAAGUCCUCUAUUUCCCGUAGCCACUUUUUGAUAUUACUUAAUGGAUCCUCUAUAAUGCACACUAAGUCAUCCACAAAGGCAUGGAGUUUGUAUGUCUCUUUGCCUAUUUUUAAGCCUUUAAAAUUGUCGUCAUCUCUCAAAUUAUUAAGGAGUAAUUCCAAUGACAUUACAAAUAUUAGCGGGGAUAGGGGACAUCCUUGCCUAGUCCCCUUCUCCACCCUAAUUUUGUUAGAUGAUUGAUCAUUUACCCAGAUAUUUGCCGUCUGAUCUUCGUAUAUAGCUUGUAUCACAUUCAUAAAAUUAUUCCCUAUAUCCAUUUCUCUCAUUAACAUUUUAAAUAAAUCCCAUUUUAUACGGUGAAAUGCCUUUUCCGCAUCAACCGUCAUUAUGGCUACUUCUUUUUGAUUAUGUUUUUCAUAGUAUUCAAUUAUAUUUACUAAGCUUUGUACGUUGUUUUUAAUACUCCUAUCUGGUAAAAAUCCCGAUUGUUCUUCUUUUAUCCAAUUUGUUAACUUGUUUUUAAGGCUGUUUCUGGUGAAAAACUGGACAGAUCUCCCCAGAGGGACUCGGGGUGGCUUCCAUGGGGACCAAGUCCAGUAUAGACAAGAAUUACAAAACUACACAAUUAAAAAGCAUAUAACAAAUAAACAAUAUAAUUAAAAUGAUUAAAACCAGAAAAGUAAAAACAACAUAAAAAUACAGCAAUUGACAUCCCUGCCAAAUAAAAUCAAUAAACCAAAUAUAAUCCAAAUAUAAUAAACCAAAUAUAAUCAAAUAAAACAGUCAUGAUUUCAUGGGCUAAAGACUUAGGGGAAAAUACUGAUUUGAAAAAAGGGGAUUUUUAUGGAAGAGAAGUUUUAAAUUUUUGAUAACUGGAUCCAUAAGAGAAAAUAUGUACAAAAUGUUCAAUAGAAGUUAUAUAACUCCUGAGGUGAUAGCUGAAAUAGAUAAAUCCCACUGGAGAAAAUGUUGGAGAUGUAAAGCAAAGAAAAGUACUUUCUUCCACACUUCGUCAGUACUUUCUUUUAAAAAUGUAAUAAAAGUAACAAAUAAAAUGAUUACUAUAAUGGUUAAGAAAAACCCAGAAAUGUUUCUCUUUAGUUUAUUUUGUGAAAGAAUUAAUAAAGAAGAUUUAGAAAUUUGUCAAUACAGUUUAGUUCCUGCAUGAUUAAUAAUAACAAAAUCAUGGAAGGGGAAAAAAGCUAUUUAUAAAGGACUGGAGGGGGAAAUUAUUAGACUAUAUUCAAAUGGCCAAGCACUCCAAUGAUAUUUGGGGAGGAAAUAAUGAAGAUUUUGAUAGAAAAUGGAAGCCUGCAUUUGAAUACUUAGAAAGGAAGACAAAUGUUGACUUUAAAAUUUCUGCAAGGUUCACGGGUGGGAGGAGGAGUGGGUUUGCUGAACAGAUAUAUUUGUAUUAUGUGUAUUUGAAUUUUUCUUUCUUUUGCAUUCUGUAUACAACAUUUACACAAAAAACAAAAAACAUAUCUCUGCAAAAUUCGAAGUGGUCAGGAUUGAGAUGUCUUGGUACUCAAGACAAUGUAACUGCAGUAGGGUCUCGCUUAUCUAACAAAAACGGCCCGGCAGAAUGUUGGAUAAGCGAAAAUGUUGGAUAAUAAGGAGGGAUUAAGGAAAAGCCUAUUAAACAUAAAAUUACAGUAUGAUUUUACAAAUUAAGCACCAAAACAUCAUGUUUUACAACAAAUUGACAGAAAAAGCAGUUCAAUGCAUGGUAACGUUAUGUAGUAAUUUCUGUAUUUACAAAUUUAGCACCAAAACAUAACAUUUACUACAAAAACAUUGACUACUAAAAGGCAGACUGCAUUGGAUAAUACAUAAUGUUGGAUAAGCGAGAUUCUACUGUAUUUUCAUUAUUUGUGUGUAUCUUAGAAGUAGUAAAACAUCCUUAUACAAAAAUACGAGAGUAUAAAUGUCUGUGCUAUUCGUUCCUUUUAAGAAGAGAUCAUUAGAUACACAUUUAUUAGUUGUAAAAUCAAUACAGCUCGGGGAAUCAUCCGUUCUCGUUUUCUAACUUUUGUGCAUUUAAAUUCCUAAUUGUGGUGAUGAUGGUGUUGGAUUUCUUCAGCCUUCUUUGUCUACCAGAUGUUCUUGAGUUCUCUGGUCCUUCUUUGGACCGCAGCUUUUGCACUGGCAUAGAUCUUUUUCUUAGCAGCACAGUUGGUGUCUCUCUGUCAUGUUUGGAAGGCUUUCCUUUUGUUAUCAAUUAGCUGUUGGAUCUCUUUGUCGUUAUCAUCAAACCAGUCUUGGUGUUUCUUAGUUUGGUAUCCAAUGGUUUCUUCGCAGGCUGUGAUGAUGGAGGUCUUCAGUUUGUUCCAAUGUUCCUCAACAUUUUUGGGGUGUUCUGUGGGUAGAUGAUCUUUGAGUGUUGUUUGGAGAAGGGCUCGUUUAGACGGCUCCUGAAGGGCUUGGGUGUUCAUUUUACGCCUUGUCUUUCUUCCUUGGAGUUGCGUUUGGGGAUAAUCUUGAUAGCCAUCAUGGAUUGGAUUAACCUGUGGUCUGUCCAGCAGUCAUCAGCACCUGUCAUGGCUCUUGUGAGAAGCACAUCGUGGCGGUCUCUGGCAUGUGUAAUUACAUAAUCCAAGAGGUGCCAAUGCUUUGACCAGGGGUGCUUCCAUGAUGUCUUGAGCUUGUUUUUCUGGCGGAAGAGCAUGUUGGUGAUGACAAGGUUGUGCUCUCCGCAUUUGGUGAGAAGCAAGAUGCCAUUUGAGUUGCUGUUUCCGACCCCGUCUUUUCCUAUGAUCCCUGGCCACAGGUCGGAGUCCCGUCCGACUCUUGCAUUAAAGCCCCCCGGGAGGAUGAUUUUGUCCUCCUGAGGUAUCCGAUAGGAUGAUGUCCAGCUGACAAUAAAAUUUUUCCUUGAUGUCUUUGUCAGCAUCUAGUAUUAGUGCAUAGGCACAUAUGAUGGUUGCCUGUUGGUUUUUGGCAAGGUUAAUUCGGAGGGUUGAGAGUCGUUCGUUGAUGCCAGUGGGUGCUUCAGUCAGGUGCUUCACCAGGUCAUUUCUAAUAGCAAAGCCAACUCUGUGUAUUCUUCGCUCUUCUUCAGGCAGUCCCUUCCAGAAAAAGGUGUAGCCUCCUUUUUCUUCCUUCAGCUGUCCCUCUCCUGCUCUCCAGGUCUCCUAAAGGGCUGCUAUCUUGAUGUUAAAACGUCCCAGCUCCCUUGCAAGGAUAGCAGUCCUGCGUUCGGGUUGUUCGCUGUCAGUGUUACCCAACAGUGUCCAUACGUUCCAUGUUCCAAAGUUCAUUUCUCUUUUUUGGCCGCAGAGUGGUGACCCCUCUGGACGUGGCAGUCCAGUCAGGGAUAGGAGAGGCAGACUAUGUUUAGGGCACCUUUUCUAGCCCCUUCCCCAUGUGGGGUGAGCAGAGAGGGUCCUAAAAAGGGCUGCUCAGUCAUGGAUACAGCUGCCGGACUACUCAACUGCCUCGGACCUUUAGGUAGAGCGACUGAGUCCAUAUCCUCUGCCCAUGUGCCAGUCUGUGACUAGGGGCUUCCAGAUUUCACAGUCCUGCCCCCAUUGCCACUCGCUGAUCGUCAUGGGACUUUUGUUGGUUUGUUUUUAUUUUUCUUGGAAGAAAAUGAUCAUAUAUCAUCAUACACCCAUCUUUACACUUAAUCUCCAUUUUUUAUUUGUUCUGCUACAGACCAUCCAAAAUGGAGAAAAAAGAAGGAAGGAGCAUGUAACAAGUUAUUUAUUUUAAAAUCUAGAUGUGACACUCACAUAUACACUCUAUAAUGUAUACACUAUGGUGUGUUAUGAUACCACAUGAUAAAAAUACCUUUCCAAAGAAUACAAAAGUGGUUUAUUCUGCCUAUCCAACAGAUCUUGUCAAAGAUGGCAAUGUGCCUCCUCCAAUAAUCUGUCUGUAUAGUUGUGAAAGUUUUCACUCCACCUGCAGGCUUUGAUGGGUGUUUUCACAUAUUUGAAAUUUGCUGUUAUUAAUGUUUUCACUAUUUUCUAUUGUCAACAUGAAGUGUCAGACAAAUUAAGAAUGGAAAAUGAAGAAUAGUAGCCAUUGUCAUUGGCAACAGCUAACAUAAAAGCUAUGUUGGAAAAAUCUAUUGAGGUAUGCUGUCCAGGCAACCGUGAUAAAUGAUUUAGUCCACUGCAGCAAACACAAAGUUUUAUUAUGCAGUUGCAUGAAUAUAUUGAGGUAGCUGAUAGGUCAAAACCAAAUCUUGCAAGUUAUCACUCAAUUUCCAUUGGUAUCAUUGAGUUGAGAAUUCAAGGCAAGCUGUGGAGAAUCUAAAUUUCUAUUGAAGCUGCCUUGAGUGCCAUUCUUGGAAUGGUAUCCCAUGAUAAUAGGAUUGGAUUUUUGCCAUUUUGCAAAUCAGUUUUUGGUUUUCCUACCCACAUCAGAUGUUUUCCUUUUCUUUGCUUUCUUUAGGAUUUAUACGUUUGAUUUGCCAUUGCAUGGUAGAGAUUUGUUUCCUUCCAUUGUACCUCCAAGAUUCUGAUUUUCUUAUCUUUUUUUUAAACUAUCACCCUUGAUCAUAGGAAGCAUUUUUGAAUUAACCCUGAUCUUUCCCCAAGCCUCUGCGAUGGCAAUCAUAGGAAGCAGCUUAAAAUUGGGGAAAUUGGCACUUCAGCUCCUCCCACACACAGUACCAUCAUUUUAAUUACAAGCGGGCAACAGGAAUAAGCAUCACACGAAGAAAUUGGCCAUUUUGCCCAUCUCUACGCAGGGAAUUUAAGAAUGCAUUGAUUGCCAGCCAGCAUAGAAAUAAUCGGAGAAAACAACACUUUAGAAAUAGCAAAAUAUUAUUUAUUUAUUUAUUUUACCUUAUUUCUACUCUGCUUUUCUCUAUCCCAAAGGGGACUCAAGGCGGCUUACAUAUGGCAACCAUUAGAUGCCUUAAAAUACAUACAGAGACAUAAUCAAUUACAUUUAAAAUUAAUACAUAUUAAACAUUUAAAACAUUACAUUCAAUAUUAAAAUCACAUCAUCUGAAAAUCAUAGUCCAAGGCCGUUCCGUCGUCAAUUAUGCAUAAUUCCAAGUCUAUUAUUGCACUGUACUAAUCACCAAAAAUCUGAUCCCAGAGCCAAGAUUUUACUGUCCUUCUGAAGGGAGGGGGCUGAUCUAACGUUACUAGGGAGGGUGUUCCACAGCUGAGGGGUCACCACUGAGAAGGCCCUGUCUCUCAUCCCCACCAGCCAUGCUUGUGAAGCAGGCGGGACCAAGAGCAGGGCCUCCCUGAAUGAUCUUAAUCUCCAAAGUGGCUCAUAGGGGAAGUUGUGUGCUCCCUGUAUGCCACUCCGGUGAGCAGCCUGGCUGCCACCCGUUGGACCAGCUGGAGCUUCUGAUCAGUCUUCAAAGGCAACAUGUUGCAGUAGUCUAUUUGGGGAGUAACAACAGUGUGGACCACUGUGGCUAAGUCAGGCUUCGCAAAGUACAGGCACAACUGGCACACAAGUUUUAAUUGUGCAAAAGCUCCCCUAGCCACUGCCGAGACCUGGGGUUCCAGGCUCAGCAAUGAAGCUAGGAUCACUCCCAAGUUGCGAACCUGUGUCUUCAGGGGGAGUGUAACCCCAUCCAGCACAGGUUGUAACCCUAUGCAUGUAUGUGUAAAGGAAAGUGUCAUAUUGCUCCCAGUUAAGCAUUCACAAGAGUUAGCUUUCAAAGUUUUUUUUUCUGUCUGAAGCUUUUUUGUACUCUGAAAGUUUUGCAGUUCCCCCAAGUCAGUUGACACCUCCCUAUUGUAUGUGUUGCUGCUUUUCUGGCACCUGAGCAAUGGAAAUAGAGAGGAUGAUGCCUUCUCCUCUUAACAGUCAUCUCCUAUCGUGAAUCAAUAAUUAAGCCAGUUCUGGUAUCAACAAGGCCUUUGUAAUUUCUCAUUUCUCUGAUCUUUUUUUCAAUCCAUGGUCCACAUUUUACCAAGUUUAUUUUUUGGAUAGAAAAAAUAUCUACUACAAAUUUGGAAACUUGUUUAUUUCUGACACCUGGUCCUUGAAGUAAGUUCCCGAAUUAGUGUCCUUAUGCUUUUAGAAUGUACUGUAGCUGAGCAACAAGGAAUUCAGCUUUAGUUGGCUUGUCUCAGGUCUAUUCCUCUAGGGCCUCACCUGCCCCAAUCUUUGAACCAGGAAAGGUAUCGUCUUCACAAUUGUGGCCGUUAAUGAGCCAGACUUGUACAGAACCUGAGCAGCUUGGUGAGGGCUCUGACACCUACCGGAUGGGUGUGUCAAAAGUAGAGCAUUGCCACCUGGUUGCAGUUCUGCUUGGCAGACUUUGUAUCUCUGUUUACACUUCACUCAAUUAUAAUUGGCAGUUCUGUCACCAUUUCUUCAUCAGUUCUGGAGCGUAUUGUUAUAGCUGAAUACAUAUAAUAGCUGUCACUUUUCUCUUCUCAGCAUUUAGUUCUAUUUGUUAGUUUCCUCUGCUUUUAGUAGCUUAAGUCAUGUCACUUAUAUUGCAUAUGCACUGACAGAUUUUUGACUGAUGCACAAAUUAAUUCAGAGGAGAAAGAAGUAAAAGAACAGGGGUUUGUUUUUGUCCUGACACAUUUAUUUUUAUUUUUGCGUGCUGUCUUUGACAGGCUUUAAAAUGAUGUUCACUUUUUUUAAAAAAAAAAUCUUAUUAAAAUAAAGAGCAAUUUGGUACAUCUGA